RNAcentral lists this ribosomal RNA (468 nucleotides) under uncultured bacterium. RNAcentral's name for it is "partial 16S ribosomal RNA". It matches the Rfam family "Bacterial small subunit ribosomal RNA", at positions 28 to 507 of the family's 1533-position model. The record is from RNAcentral.
GACGAACGCUGGCGGCGUGCUUAACACAUGCAAGUCGAACGGAAAGGCCCUGCUUUUGUGGGGUGCUCGAGUGGCGAACGGGUGAGUAACACGUGAGUAACCUGCCCUUGACUUUGGGAUAACUUCAGGAAGCUGGGGCUAAUACCGGAUAGGAGCUCCUGCUGCAUGGUGGGGGUUGGAAAGUUUCGGCGGUUGGGGAUGGACUCGCGGCUUAUCAGCUUGUUGGUGGGGUAGUGGCUUACCAAGGCUUUGACGGGUAGCCGGCCUGAGAGGGUGACCGGCCAACAUGGGACUGAGAUACGGACCAGACUCCUACCGGAGGCAACAGUGGGGAAUAUUGCACAAUGGGCGGAAGCCUGAUGCAGCAACGCCGGGUUCGGGAAGAAGGCCUUUGGGGUGUAAACCGCUUUCGCCUGUGACGAAGCGUGAGUGACGGUAAUGGGUAAAGAAGCACCGGCUAACUACGUG